RNAcentral lists this ribosomal RNA (708 nucleotides) under Triticum aestivum (bread wheat). RNAcentral's name for it is "partial small subunit ribosomal RNA". The record is from RNAcentral. Lineage: Eukaryota; Viridiplantae; Streptophyta; Magnoliopsida; Poales; Poaceae.
AUGAAAAUCCUAGGAUGGAACUGCCGUGGUAUGCUCUCCAACACGGCAGUUCGAGAGCUUCUAGAACUACAGGAGCGUACAAGGGCGGAGUUAAUUUUCCUUUCCGAAUCCCAUUUGAAUAAGUGUAAAGCCGAUGAGCUUCGGCGUGUCCUAGGUUUUGAUUCUAUGUUUGUAGUGGAAAGUGAUGGUCGGGCCGGUGGCCUUGUUAUGUUUUAUCAUAAGUCGAAUAAAAUCGAGUUGAACUAUGUAUCGUCUUAUUUUAUUGAUGUUCUGUUUAUGUAUGAGGAUGUUGUAAAGUGGCGAUUCACGGGCUUUUAUGGUCAUCCGAAUUGGAAUGAGCGUCAUUUAUCUUGGGAUGAUAUUCGUAAUUUACAUAGUAAGGGCGACCACCCUUGGGUGGUUUUGGGGGAUUUUAAUGAAAUUUUAUAUUCCUUGGAAAAGGAGGGCGGUAAUGCGAGACCAAAUGGAAUGAUGAGGGACUUCCGUGAAUGCCUUAUGGACUGUGGGCUGGAAGACUUAGGUUACAUGGGCGAUCCUUUUACUUGGAGUAGAGGUGAAAUCCGAGAGCGUCUCGAUCGGGCAGUUUGCAAUGUAGGGUGGGCACAUAAAUUUCCUCGUGCGGCGGUGAUUAAUGAAGAACAUGUCCAUUCUGAUCAUCGGCCACUGGUCUUGGACACGGAUUAUUUGGAUGACAAUAUUUUCAGAUGA